RNAcentral lists this ribosomal RNA (1507 nucleotides) under seawater metagenome. RNAcentral's name for it is "bacterial LSU rRNA". It matches the Rfam family "Bacterial large subunit ribosomal RNA", at positions 489 to 1996 of the family's 2925-position model. The record is from RNAcentral.
AGUGAACCAGUACCGUGAGGGAAAGGUGAAAAGAACCCUGAACAAGGGAGUGAAAUAGAACCUGAAACCGUACGCUUACAAGCGGAGGGAGCCUACGGGUGACCUCGUGCCUUUUGCAUAAUGAUCCUACGAGUUACUCCUCACUAGCGAGGUUAAGGAUUUAAGAUCCGAAGUCGAAGCGAAAGCGAGUCUGAAUAGGGCGAAUUAGUUAGUGGGGGUAGACGCGAAACUUGGUGAUCUACCCAUGAGCAGGUUGAAGUUGCAGUAACAUGUAAUGGAGGACCGAACCAGUAAACGUUGAAAAGUUUUUGGAUGACUUGUGGGUAGGGGUGAAAGGCCAAUCAAACUGAGAGAUAGCUCGUACUCCCCGAAAUGCAUUUAGGUGCAGCGUUGAGCAUUAUAGUUAUAGAGGUAGAGCUACUGAUUGGGCUAGGGGGCUUCACCGCCUACCAAACCCUAAUAAACUCCGAAUGCUAUAACUUUUACUCAGCAGUGAGGGCAUGGGUGCUAAGGUCCAUGUCCGAGAGGGAAACAACCCAGACCAUCAGCUAAGGUCCCUAAAUAUAUACUAAGUUGAACUAACGAGGUUCGAUUGCUUUGACAGCUAGGAUGUUGGCUUGGAAGCAGCCAUUCAUUUAAAGAGUGCGUAACAGCUCACUAGUCGAGCGAUUGAGCAUGGAUAAUAAUCGGGCAUAAAGUAUAUUACCGAAGCUAUGGAAUUGUUAGCAAUAACAAAUUGGUAGGGGAGCAUUCUAGUCAGCGUUGAAGGUGUAUCGUAAGGUAUGCUGGAGCGUCUAGAAAAGAAAAUGUAGGAAUAAGUAACGAUAAGGCAGGCGAGAAACCUGCCCACCGAUAGACUAAGGUUUCCUGAUCAACGCUAAUCGGAUCAGGGUUAGUCGGGACCUAAGGCGAACCCGAAAGGGGUAGUCGAUGGAUAACAGGUUAAUAUUCCUGUACUAGCAUAUAUUGCGAUGGGGUGACGGAGUAGUGAAAGGUCUGCGUACUGACGGAAUAGUACGUUGAAGAGUGUAGGUAUUAGACUUAUAGGAAAAUCCGUAAGACUAGCUGAACUUGAUAGUACCAAGAGCCUUCGGGCAAUUGGAUAAUGACCCUAAUCAGACUUCCAAGAAAAACCUCUAAGCUUCAGAUAUAUGCUACUCGUACCGCAAACCGACACAGGUAGUCAAGGAGAGAAUCCUAAGGUGCUCGAGUGAUUCAUGGUUAAGGAACUAGGCAAAAUCGCCUCGUAACUUCGGGAGAAGAGGCGCCCUGGUGUAAGAACCAGGGCCGCAGUGAAAAGGCCCAGGCGACUGUUUAUCAAAAACACAUGGCUUUGCUAAAUCGAAAGAUGACGUAUAAGGCCUGACACCUGCCCGGUGCCGGAAGGUUAAAAGGAGAUGUUAUCCUCGGAGAAGCAUUGAAUUGAAGCCCCGGUAAACGGCGGCCGUAACAAUAACGGUCCUAAGGUAGCGAAAUUCCUUGUCGGGUAAGUUCCGACCUGCACGAA